RNAcentral lists this ribosomal RNA (561 nucleotides) under Prevotella sp. oral taxon 298. RNAcentral's name for it is "bacterial SSU rRNA". It matches the Rfam family "Bacterial small subunit ribosomal RNA", at positions 371 to 932 of the family's 1533-position model. Lineage: Bacteria; Pseudomonadati; Bacteroidota; Bacteroidia; Bacteroidales; Prevotellaceae. The record is from RNAcentral.
AUGGGCGAGAGCCUGAACCAGCCAAGUAGCGUGCAGGAUGACGGCCCUAUGGGUGUGUAAACUGCUUUUGUAUGGGGAUAAAGUCAAUCACGUGUGAUUGUUUGCAGGUACCAUACGAAUAAGGACCGGCUAAUUCCGUGCCAGCAGCCGCGGUAAUACGGAAGGUCCGGGCGUUAUCCGGAUUUAUUGGGUUUAAAGGGAGCGUAGGCUGGAGAUUAAGUGUGUUGUGAAAUGUAGACGCUCAACGUCUGACUUGCAGCGCAUACUGGUUUCCUUGAGUACGCACAACGUUGGCGGAAUUCGUCGUGUAGCGGUGAAAUGCUUAGAUAUGACGAAGAACUCCGAUUGCGAAGGCAGCUGACGGGAGCGCAACUGACGCUGAAGCUCGAAGGUGCGGGUAUCGAACAGGAUUAGAUACCCUGGUAGUCCGCACAGUAAACGAUGGAUGCCCGCUGUUGGUACCUGGUAUCAGCGGCUAAGCGAAAGCAUUAAGCAUCCCACCUGGGGAGUACGCCGGCAACGGUGAAACUCAAAGGAAUUGACGGGGGCCCGCACAAGCGG